UUCAAUGGUGACUCAGGCAGGGCAGCUUUCGGGCUGGCCGGUGUCCUUGUAGGCCGGUAGUGCAAACCCUGUCUGGGUUACCACCAAG
Molecule: non-coding RNA, 88 nt
Filed under: Buttiauxella agrestis ATCC 33320
Lineage: Bacteria; Pseudomonadati; Pseudomonadota; Gammaproteobacteria; Enterobacterales; Enterobacteriaceae
Source: RNAcentral